Molecule: ribosomal RNA, 1332 nt
Filed under: uncultured bacterium
Lineage: Bacteria
Description: bacterial SSU rRNA
Rfam family: Bacterial small subunit ribosomal RNA
Source: RNAcentral
CUGGCGGCGUGGAUAAGUACAUGCAAGUUCGAAACGAGAGAAUUUGCUAGCUUUGCUAAUAAUUUCUCUAGUUGGCGCACGGGUGAGUAACACGUGAGUAACCUGCCCCCGAGAGCGGGAUAGCCCUGGGAAACUGGGAUUAAUACCGCAUAGUAUCGAAAGAUUAAAGCAGCAAUGCGCCUUGGGGAUGGGCUCGCGGCCUAUUAGUUAGUUGGUGAGGUAACGGCUCACCAAGGCGAUGACGGGUAGCCGGUCUGAGAGGAUGUCCGGCCACACUGGAACUGAGACACGGUCCAGACACCUACGGGUGGCAGCAGUCGAGAAUCAUUCACAAUGGGGGAAACCCUGAUGGUGUGACGCCGCGUGGGGGAAUGAAGGUCUUCGGAUUGUAAACCCCUGUCAUGUGGGAGCAAAUUAAAAAGAUAGUACCACAAGAGGAAGAGACGGCUAACUCUGUGCCAGCAGCCGCGGUAAUACAGAGGUCUCAAGCGUUGUUCGGAAUCACUGGGCGUAAAGCGUGCGUAGGCUGUUUCGUAAGUCGUGUGUGAAAGGCGCGGGCUCAACCCGCGGACGGCACAUGAUACUGCGAGACUAGAGUAAUGGAGGGGGAACCGGAAUUCUCGGUGUAGCAGUGAAAUGCGUAGAUAUCGAGAGGAACACUCGUGGCGAAGGCGGGUUCCUGGACAUUAACUGACGCUGAGGCACGAAGGCCGGGGGAGCGAAAGGGAUUAGAUACCCCUGUAGUCCUGGCAGUAAACGGUGCACGCUUGGUGUGCGGGGAAUCGACCCCCUGCGUGCCGGAGCUAACGCGUUAAGCGUGCCGCCUGGGGAGUACGGUCGCAAGAUUAAAACUCAAAGAAAUUGACGGGGACCCGCACAAGCGGUGGAGUAUGUGGCUUAAUUCGAUGCAACGCGAAGAACCUUACCUGGGCUUGACAUGUAAUGAACAACAUGUGAAAGCAUGCGACUCUUCGGAGGCGUUACACAGGUGCUGCAUGGCCGUCGUCAGCUCGUGUCGUGAGAUGUUUGGUUAAGUCCAGCAACGAGCGCAACCCCUGUUGCCAGUUACCAGCACGUGAAGGUGGGGACUCUGGCGAGACUGCCCAGAUCAACUGGGAGGAAGGUGGGGACGACGUCAGGUCAGUAUGGCCCUUAUGCCCAGGGCUGCACACGUACUACAAUGCCCAGUACAGAGGGGGCCGAAGCCGCGAGGCGGAGGAAAUCCUGAAAACUGGGCCCAGUUCGGACUGUAGGCUGCAACCCGCCUACACGAAGCCGGAAUCGCUAGUAAUGGCGCAUCAGCUACGGCGCCGUGAAUACGUUCCCGGGUCU